This 28-nucleotide small RNA is filed under the name Bombyx mori (domestic silkworm). RNAcentral's name for it is "ovarian small RNA-22609". The record is from RNAcentral. Lineage: Eukaryota; Metazoa; Arthropoda; Insecta; Lepidoptera; Bombycidae.
UAGGAAAUACUGCUGUCGCACUCGUUGU